Mugil cephalus (flathead mullet) is the source of this 297-nucleotide long non-coding RNA. RefSeq lists it as uncharacterized. The record is from RefSeq and is a predicted model, not a curated record. The transcript has 3 exons. Lineage: Eukaryota; Metazoa; Chordata; Actinopteri; Mugiliformes; Mugilidae.
AUAAAAGUACAUUUUCUAAUCUCGUACGGGAUGUUCGCGCUACUUCUGGUGCAGGGGUGUCCGUGUACUGCACCAUUCCAGUUUUCACUAAGGGAUUACCAGCUAAGGACAUCUGUCAGAUUUGAUCUGCCAAACACUUCAGGUGCUACUGUUAAAAUACCACAAACUAUUAUGGCGAGGACGAUGAUGGAGAGGAAGGCGGCGGUUGCAAGGGCAGUCAGAAGGAUCACGAUGACGGACAUGGAGUAAGCUGGAGAUGAAGCUGUGGUUGGUGGGAGGCGAGGAAUCUGACGAGGG